UCCCUGGUGGUCUAGUGGUUAAGAUACAGCGCUUUCACUGCUGCAGCACAGGUUCAAUCCCUAGUCUGGGAA
This 72-nucleotide transfer RNA is filed under the name Sus scrofa (pig). It matches the Rfam family "tRNA". Rfam says of the family: Transfer RNA (tRNA) molecules are approximately 80 nucleotides in length. Their secondary structure includes four short double-helical elements and three loops (D, anti-codon, and T loops). Further hydrogen bonds mediate the characteristic L-shaped molecular structure. tRNAs have two regions of fundamental functional importance: the anti-codon, which is responsible for specific mRNA codon recognition, and the 3' end, to which the tRNAs corresponding amino acid is attached (by aminoacyl-tRNA synthetases). tRNAs cope with the degeneracy of the genetic code in two manners: having more than one tRNA (with a specific anti-codon) for a particular amino acid; and 'wobble' base-pairing, i.e. permitting non-standard base-pairing at the 3rd anti-codon position. Lineage: Eukaryota; Metazoa; Chordata; Mammalia; Artiodactyla; Suidae. The record is from Rfam by way of RNAcentral.